This 558-nucleotide ribosomal RNA is filed under the name Pseudomonas aeruginosa. RNAcentral's name for it is "bacterial SSU rRNA". It matches the Rfam family "Bacterial small subunit ribosomal RNA", at positions 74 to 628 of the family's 1533-position model. RNAcentral also lists the same sequence under 1 other name. Lineage: Bacteria; Pseudomonadati; Pseudomonadota; Gammaproteobacteria; Pseudomonadales; Pseudomonadaceae. The record is from RNAcentral.
GGGAGCUUGCUCCUGGAUUCAGCGGCGGACGGGUGAGUAAUGCCUAGGAAUCUGCCUGGUAGUGGGGGAUAACGUCCGGAAACGGGCGCUAAUACCGCAUACGUCCUGAGGGAGAAAGUGGGGGAUCUUCGGACCUCACGCUAUCAGAUGAGCCUAGGUCGGAUUAGCUAGUUGGUGGGGUAAAGGCCUACCAAGGCGACGAUCCGUAACUGGUCUGAGAGGAUGAUCAGUCACACUGGAACUGAGACACGGUCCAGACUCCUACGGGAGGCAGCAGUGGGGAAUAUUGGACAAUGGGCGAAAGCCUGAUCCAGCCAUGCCGCGUGUGUGAAGAAGGUCUUCGGAUUGUAAAGCACUUUAAGUUGGGAGGAAGGGCAGUAAGUUAAUACCUUGCUGUUUUGACGUUACCAACAGAAUAAGCACCGGCUAACUUCGUGCCAGCAGCCGCGGUAAUACGAAGGGUGCAAGCGUUAAUCGGAAUUACUGGGCGUAAAGCGCGCGUAGGUGGUUCAGCAAGUUGGAUGUGAAAUCCCCGGGCUCAACCUGGGAACUGCAUCC